RNAcentral lists this ribosomal RNA (490 nucleotides) under uncultured bacterium. RNAcentral's name for it is "partial 16S ribosomal RNA". It matches the Rfam family "Bacterial small subunit ribosomal RNA", at positions 30 to 507 of the family's 1533-position model. The record is from RNAcentral.
AUUGAACGCUGGCGGCAGGCCUAACACAUGCAAGUCGAACGGUAACAGGAAGCAGCUUGCUGCUUCGCUGACGAGUGGCGGACGGGUGAGUAAUGUCUGGGAAGCUGCCUGAUGGAGGGGGAUAACUACUGGAAACGGUAGCUAAUACCGCAUAAUGUCGCAAGACCAAAGAGGGGGACCUUCGGGCCUCUUGCCAUCGGAUGUGCCCAGAUGGGAUUAGCUUGUUGGUGGGGUAACGGCUCACCAAGGCGACGAUCCCUAGCUGGUCUGAGAGGAUGACCAGCCACACUGGAACUGAGGCACGGUCCAGACUCCUACGGGAGGCAGCAGUGGGGAAUAUUGCACAAUGGGCGCAAGCCCGAUGCAGCCAUGCCGCGUGUAUGAAGAAGGCCUUCGGGUUGUAAAGUACUUUCAGCGGGGAGGAAGGGAGUAAAGUUAAUACCUUUGCUCAUUGACGUUACCCGCAGAAGAAGCACCGGCUAACUCCGUG